UGAGGAAUAUUGGUCAAUGGGCGAGAGCCUGAACCAGCCAAGUCGCGUGAGGGAAGACGGUCCUAUGGAUUGUAAACCUCUUUUGCCGGGGAGCAAAGAGCGGCACGUGUGCCGCGCCGAGAGUACCCGGAGAAAAAGCAUCGGCUAACUCCGUGCCAGCAGCCGCGGUAAUACGGAGGAUGCGAGCGUUAUCCGGAUUUAUUGGGUUUAAAGGGUGCGCAGGCGGCGCGUUAAGUUACAGCGGUAAAAGUUUCGGGGACUUUAAGCCCCGAUACCGAGCCGUUCGUAAAACUGGCGUGCUAGAGUGGGCGAGAAGUAUGCGGAAUGCGUGGUGUAGCGGUGAAAUGCAUAGAUAUCACGCAGAACUCCGAUUGCGAAGGCAGCAUACCGGCGCCCCAACUGACGCUCAUGCACGAAAGCGUGGGUAUCGAAUAGGAUUAGAUACC
RNAcentral lists this ribosomal RNA (446 nucleotides) under uncultured bacterium. Its description in RNAcentral is "bacterial SSU rRNA". It matches the Rfam family "Bacterial small subunit ribosomal RNA", at positions 355 to 786 of the family's 1533-position model. The record is from RNAcentral.